This 185-nucleotide small nuclear RNA is filed under the name Canis lupus familiaris (dog). RNAcentral's name for it is "7SK RNA". It matches the Rfam family "7SK RNA". Rfam says of the family: 7SK was discovered as an abundant small nuclear RNA in the mid-70s but a possible function has only recently been suggested. Two independent studies have found that 7SK RNA binds the CDK9/cyclin T complex (known as elongation factor P-TEFb). P-TEFb activates transcription by phosphorylating the C-terminal domain of RNA polymerase II. The record is from Rfam by way of RNAcentral. Lineage: Eukaryota; Metazoa; Chordata; Mammalia; Carnivora; Canidae.
GGGUGUGAGGAUGAUCUAGCUGCAGUGUUUAUCCCACUGAUUGCCAGGGUUGAUUUGGUUGCUCUGGCUGGCUAGGCCAGUCCCCUUACCCUCUCACUGCACCGUAGACAUUAGUAGAACAAUGGGGGUUGUCAAACUUCCAAACAUCCAAAUGAAGUGCUGUGUGUGGCAGUCUGCCUUUCUAA